This 83-nucleotide small RNA is filed under the name Marmota monax (woodchuck). Lineage: Eukaryota; Metazoa; Chordata; Mammalia; Rodentia; Sciuridae. The record is from RNAcentral.
GCUGGGUAUGGUGGCGUACACCUGUAAUCCCAGUGGCUUGGGAGGCUGAGGCGGGAGGAUUGUGAGCCCAAAGCCAGUCUCAG